AGCAAUAGUUUGGGGGUUCCAGGCAGGGGAAACAGCUAGAGAACCCUCAAAACUCCCAUGAUGGGGCGCCUGGGUGGCUCAGUUGCCCGCUCCGAAACCUCAAGACCAAGCAGUACCAACGUCUGGACAUAAGGUAGAUAGAGCUCUGGAGUCAGACUUGCCUGACUCAAAUCCUGCUCCAGGCAGCGCUACACCUCUGGACAAGACUACUGACCACUACAUAUGUCAUUACAUACGUGGAAAUGAUAAUGGCAUCUACCUUAUGGGGUUCCUGAGAGGAUGAUAGCAGACCACGCAUUAAAACACAAAGCACGGAACUGGGAACGUUAUAGGUUCUCAUGAAUGCCACCCAGGGAGCAUACCAAUGGUCCACUGAGCUACUGAAAUGAUGCUUCGGACCUGAUCCCUGCCUCAUAAAUAAGGACCAGACAUGGAAUCCAGGUCAGUGAGAAUUUACUAUUAUUAAUACUCAAUUGAACAUUGGAGAAAUACCAGUGAUUUCAAGGAACUUGCAGUCCAGUUAGGAAGAUAUUAUAAACACAUGAAACAGGAGAUCUGAGAAAUGACACACAUAGUAUCAGAAUUAAUAAAAUAGAAAAUAAAAUCUAAGCAAAGGCUCAUUCUGGGUUGAGUAGUGAUAUUUAAGGAAAGCACUGUAGAGGAGACAUUUGAACCUGAGGUGAAAAAUGAGAAGUAACAGGUGAGGAGGAAGGGAGAAGGAUGUUUUCAGUGCUGGGUAGUGUUAGGAAGCGUACAUUGAUUUAUAUGGCUGGAAAUCAUGAGAAUUAGC
Molecule: long non-coding RNA, 790 nt
Filed under: Zalophus californianus (California sea lion)
Lineage: Eukaryota; Metazoa; Chordata; Mammalia; Carnivora; Otariidae
Description: lncRNA (ENSZCAG00015019825.1)
Source: RNAcentral